GUGCUCGCUUCGGCAGCACAUAUACUAAAACUUGGAACGAUACAGAGAAGAUUAGCAUGGCCCCUGUAAAAAAAGAAUGAAAAAAAAAUUUUUAAAAUGAAUCCAGUUUUG
Molecule: small nuclear RNA, 111 nt
Organism: Prolemur simus (greater bamboo lemur)
Lineage: Eukaryota; Metazoa; Chordata; Mammalia; Primates; Lemuridae
Source: Ensembl